Molecule: ribosomal RNA, 253 nt
Filed under: uncultured bacterium
Lineage: Bacteria
Description: partial 16S ribosomal RNA
Rfam family: Bacterial small subunit ribosomal RNA
Source: RNAcentral
UACGUAGGGUGCAAGCGUUGUCCGGAAUUAUUGGGCGUAAAGAGCUCGUAGGCGGUUUGUCGCGUCUGGUGUGAAAAUCCAGGGCUUAACCCUGGACCUGCAUCGGGUACGGGCAGACUAGAGGCAGGUAGGGGAGAAUGGAAUUCCCGGUGUAGCGGUGAAAUGCGCAGAUAUCGGGAGGAACACCGGUGGCGAAGGCGGUUCUCUGGGCCUGUACUGACGCUGAGGAGCGAAAGCGUGGGGAGCGAACAGG